RNAcentral lists this ribosomal RNA (809 nucleotides) under uncultured Gammaproteobacteria bacterium. RNAcentral describes it as "bacterial SSU rRNA". It matches the Rfam family "Bacterial small subunit ribosomal RNA", at positions 60 to 868 of the family's 1533-position model. The record is from RNAcentral. Lineage: Bacteria; Pseudomonadati; Pseudomonadota; Gammaproteobacteria.
AGUCGACGGUAAAGAACUAGCUUGCUAGUUGCUGACGAGUGGCGGACGGGUGAGUAAUACUUAGGGAUCUGCCUCUGUGUGGGGGAUAACUAUUGGAAACGAUAGCUAAUACCGCAUAACGUCUACGGACCAAAGAGGGCUUCGGCUCUCGCGCAGAGAGGAACCUAAGCGAGAUUAGCUUGUUGGUGAGGUAAAGGCUCACCAAGGCGACGAUCUCUAGCUGUUCUGAGAGGAAGAUCAGCCACACUGGAACUGAGACACGGUCCAGACUCCUACGGGAGGCAGCAGUGGGGAAUAUUGCACAAUGGGGGCAACCCUGAUGCAGCCAUGCCGCGUGUGUGAAGAAGGCCUUCGGGUUGUAAAGCACUUUCAGUUGUGAGGAAAGGUUAGUAGUUAAUACCUGCUAGCUGUGACGUUAACAACAGAAGAAGCACCGGCUAACUCCGUGCCAGCAGCCGCGGUAAUACGGAGGGUGCGAGCGUUAAUCGGAAUUACUGGGCGUAAAGCGCACGCAGGCGGUCUGUUAAGCUAGAUGUGAAAGCCCCGCGCUCAACGUGGGAGGGUCAUUUAGAACUGGCAGACUAGAGUCUUGGAGAGGGGAGUGGAAUUCCAGGUGUAGCGGUGAAAUGCGUAGAGAUCUGGAGGAACAUCAAUGGCGAAGGCAACUCCCUGGCCAAAGACUGACGCUCAUGUGCGAAAGUGUGGGCAGCCAACAGGAUUAGAUACCCCGGUAGUCCCCACCGUAAACGCUGUCUACUAGCUGUUUGGGGAUUUAAUCCCGGAGUAGCGAAGCUAACGCGAUAAGUAGA